RNAcentral lists this ribosomal RNA (429 nucleotides) under uncultured bacterium. RNAcentral describes it as "SSU rRNA". It matches the Rfam family "Bacterial small subunit ribosomal RNA", at positions 370 to 808 of the family's 1533-position model. The record is from RNAcentral.
AAUGGGCGCAGCCUGAUGCAGCGACGCCGCGUGCGGGAUGACGGCCUUCGGGUUGUAAACCGCUUUUGACUGGGAGCAAGCCCUUCGGGGUGAGUGUACCUUUCGAAUAAGCACCGGCUAACUACGUGCCAGCAGCCGCGGUAAUACGUAGGGUGCAAGCGUUAUCCGGAAUUAUUGGGCGUAAAGGGCUCGUAGGCGGUUCGUCGCGUCCGGUGUGAAAGUCCAUCGCUUAACGGUGGAUCCGCGCCGGGUACGGGCGGGCUUGAGUGCGGUAGGGGAGACUGGAAUUCCCGGUGUAACGGUGGAAUGUGUAGAUAUCGGGAAGAACACCAAUGGCGAAGGCAGGUCUCUGGGCCGUCACUGACGCUGAGGAGCGAAAGCGUGGGGAGCGAACAGGAUUAGAUACCCUGGUAGUCCAAGGGCGAAUUC